GGCGACGACGGGUAGCCGGCCUGAGAGGGUGACCGGCCACACUGGGACUGAGACACGGCCCAGACUCCUACGGGAGGCAGCAGUGGGGAAUAUUGCACAAUGGGCGAAAGCCUGAUGCAGCGACGCCGCGUGAGGGAUGACGGCCUUCGGGUUGUAAACCUCUUUCAGCAGGGAAGAAGCCACAAGUGACGGUACCUGCAGAAGAAGCGCCGGCUAACUACGUGCCAGCAGCCGCGGUAAUACGUAGGGCGCAAGCGUUGUCCGGAAUUAUUGGGCGUAAAGAGCUCGUAGGCGGUUUGUCGCGUCUGCUGUGAAAGCCCGGGGCUUAACCCCGGGUGUGCAGUGGGUACGGGCAGACUAGAGUGCAGUAGGGGAGACUGGAAUUCCUGGUGUAGCGGUGG
Molecule: ribosomal RNA, 401 nt
Filed under: Kocuria sp. 49B(2010)
Lineage: Bacteria; Bacillati; Actinomycetota; Actinomycetes; Micrococcales; Micrococcaceae
Also listed under: 1 other name
Description: bacterial SSU rRNA
Rfam family: Bacterial small subunit ribosomal RNA
Source: RNAcentral